This 253-nucleotide ribosomal RNA is filed under the name uncultured bacterium. RNAcentral's name for it is "partial 16S ribosomal RNA". It matches the Rfam family "Bacterial small subunit ribosomal RNA", at positions 524 to 776 of the family's 1533-position model. The record is from RNAcentral.
GACAGAGGUGCCGAGCGUUAGGCGGAAUCACUGGGCUUAAAGCGUGUGUAGGCGGAUUCCUAAGUACCUUGUGAAAUCCCACGGCUUAACCGUGGAACUGCUUGGUAUACUGGGUGUCUUGAGCCAGCUAGGGGCUACCGGAACAAAUGGUGGAGCGGUGAAAUGCGUAGAUAUCAUUUGGAACGCCAAUGGUGAAAACAGGUAGCUGGGGCUGUGCUGACGCUGAGACACGAAAGCCAGGGGAGCGAACGGG